Molecule: long non-coding RNA, 8530 nt
Filed under: Populus trichocarpa (black cottonwood)
Lineage: Eukaryota; Viridiplantae; Streptophyta; Magnoliopsida; Malpighiales; Salicaceae
Description: long non-coding RNA (PTRI_LNC001005)
Source: RNAcentral
UCCAAGCAAGGAAGAUCUUCGCAAUUUGCCGAAUCCCAAAAUGACACAACCAAAUAAUUGUUUGGCCAAAUGGCAUAAGCUCCUUUAUCUGGAUACACAACAGAACCAACCAAGUAGCCACCAUAAUCUGGUAUACCAAAGUUACCUAUUGCACUGUCAUGUUUUGACAUCAAACUCAGAGGAGAAAGCACUCUUAUGUUACUCUUCUCUACCACAAAAUGACCAAACACACAACUCUUCCCUAUAAAUGUUAUUACAAGAAACAAAGACACGAGUUUCUUCAGAGAAGCAGUCAUGCAAGUGAUCAUCGCCAUGAUGAUCAAGAAAGAAUAUUCAUACAAGACUAGCUACAAAGCUGGUUUGGUUUAUGAUCAAUCCUUGUUGAGAAUAAGAAAGAAUCAGAGAGAAAAGAAAGAAAGAAAGAGGGAGAGGUAGACAAGGGAAACGGGGAGGACGUGUGGUGUGAGCAAGAGUGGACUUUGCAACGGUCUACAGUUGGAGGGAUUCCAAGUUAAGUUUUUUGGAGUUUGGUGUAAGAAUCUUUUCGCUUACUAGUUUAAAUAACAAAGGUGUAUUUUAGAGAGGAAGAGAUUUAUUGGAAAAUUGAAGGGUACGUUUACUUUAACUUGGAGUCGUCGUAUACCCCAUGACAAUGAAAAUAACUCUUAACGUAAAGGGUACAACAUGAGAGUGGAAGGAAGGAAGGAGGGAGGGGAGGGGGAAUUCGAGGAGUAUAGAUAGAUGGGGCUGGGAGCUGACAGAGGCAGCAAGACCUACCUUCUUUUUAUAUUGCGUGCAACUACUUGGAAGUGAGAGCGACUGGAGACAGAGAAAGACAUGUUGAAUAUCAUUUGAAAACCAAUUAUUGUUGUUGCAGUUGUAUUUUAUUUUUCAAGUUGUUGGAUUGAUUUCUUCAAUUUUAAGGUAAAGUGGGAUUUUUUCAGCAAUUUAUUCUUAAUUAAUUAUUAGGUACCAGAAAUUUGCAACUGCUAUUAAUUUAGGGGUUCUAUAAAGGCAGCGAGAGAGUAGAGGAGGCUUUAUAUCGAGAGAGUAGAGGAGGCUUUAUAUAUAUAUAUAUAUGAGGUUAAUAAUACCUUUCUAUUUGUUGGAGGGAUAAUAAAAUUCCCACAUGAAAUGGAUUCGCAUGCAUAUAUUAAAAAAUAAAAUAUAGUUCUCCUAUAAUCCAAUUGUUACAUCAAGACAAAAAAAGUGAAACUUCAUCAUUAGAUAAUAACGUACAUUUAAUGUGAUUAAUAUUUAAACACCCGACAUUUGCAUGAAGAAUAAAGGAACUGUGUUCCAAAAGAAAAAUGUGCAACUUUAAAUAAAUUAAAAGUUGAAUUUUGCUAAAUGAUGAUAUUUUAUAUCCUAUUUGAUGUAAUUCUAGAAUCCAACAUGCUCGAAAAUAGAGUUAUUAAAUGUUAAGUGUUUAUUUAGAUAAUAAGUAAUCAUAUGUUCAAAACAAUAUAUAAUUCAUUAUUUAAAAUUAAUGGAGCAGAUAGUUGGUGAUAGAAAUGUGAUUCUUGUGAAAUAAUUAUUUUUUUAUGGGGUUUAGUAAUCUUUAAUGAUUAAGUUAAUGAUUUUUUAAUAAAAAAUUAUAAUAAAUAAGAUAAUAAACAUUAGAUUUUAGGGACCAUAAUUAAUGUUUGUUAUUAGUUUUUAUAUGAUAAAUACUUUGAGAAUGUAUGAUAAAAGAAUAUAAAUAUGAAUAUUUUACUUGGAUGAUCGGAGAAUAUUUAUAAUUCUAAACUUUAUCGUUUUAUAUAUUGAAAGGAUAGAGAGUUAUUUAAUUUUAAAAAUUUUGAUGAGAAAAAAUAUUAUACAAUAUUAAUAUUGAUUAGUAAGGGAAUAAUAGUAUUUUAAUUUUAAAGGUGUUUUUUAUUUUGUGCUGUUUCAUCCAAAAGUCAUGGUUUUUAAAUAGUUUAUUGCACUUCUUACAAUAAUAAUAAUAAUAAUAAUAAUAAUAAUAAUAAUAAAAUACUUUGUCACUCAAUACUAUAAAUAUACGUCUUUGGUUGUUCUUUUUUGUUUUUUCUCUUUUACACAAAAUUCAACUAAUUCCUUAAAGAUUAUUUGUUUUGCUAUCUGAACUCUUUAAGACCUUUCUAUAUAUGAUCUCGGAGGUGUAUUUGUCUUAAUCCAAUAACCACUUUGGUAGAUGGAGAAAUAAUAUUUUAAAUAUAAUGUUAUAUAUUUACAUAUAUAUUAACAAUCUUUGAAUUAUUAUUUUAAAUUUUUAUCACGUGACUGGAGAAGGGGAAAUUUAGUUUUUUUAAUCUUUGAAUUAUUAUUAUUAUUUUCAAUGAAGUCAACACGUGGCACGCAAGGUUGGUUGGCUCAAAAUUAGACAAAAACAAUGAAUAAAAAAAUUGGUUUAUUAGUAUAAUUAUUGUUUAUUAUUAACGACGUUAUUAAUAUAAAGCUUACGUUAAACAAAUUAUUAGUGUAGAGGACUCAAUCCACCUUCAAAUUAAAGGCAAAGUUUUCUAAAUUAAGUUUGAGGGAUUUCUCGGUUUGCAUUAAAAGUUUUAGACAUCAUUUAUCUUCUUGAAAGAAGCCUUCUAAUGAAAAUAUCCACAUAAGACUACCAUAAUACAAAAUAUAAUCAAACUUAAUUAAACACUCUUCCCUGUUUACUAAUCAGAAGCUAAGAAAUCAACCAAAAUAUAAAUUUAUUAAAGAGCACUGUACCCAUACAAACAAAUCAGUUUCUCUAAAUAUGAGAGAAUAUAUGCUCAAAAUAAAUUAAAGAAACGUCAAAAUAAAUAAGACAUUUUUUUGGUAGUGAUUGUAAAUAAGCAUUUUUUUCUCUUUUGGGUUGGAAAAUGCAUGUUCAUUAUCAGAAAAUUAAAAAGAAAAAACAAUGAAAACACUGGUGGAAAAUAUUUUAUUGAUUGAUGGAAAUUAUUUUAGUAACAUUAUAAAACAAUAAUUAAUUGAUGUGAGAUAUUAUAAAUUACUUACACAUGAAGAUCCCUUAUCUACAAUUUUCACUUGCAAUUACUAAUGUUAGUUUCCUUAUCAAUAAUAAUUAGGGUAUUAUUUAUUCAUGAUAGUAUAAUUUGAAAAUUAAACUUUAAUGAACAAGUCCUUUAUAUGCAUGUAUGGUUAAAAAUAGGUUUCUCUUUGUUAACUUCCAAACUUUAAAGGAUUAGUUAAAAUCUACAUAAACUAAUAUGAGCAAUCAUAAUUAUAUAUAUAUAUAUAAAAAAGAAGGUUCCUCUUCUAUAAUUUACUCAAGACCACGCCUUCAUACUCUUUUGAAUAUGCACGUAUCGUUUUUUAUCCUUCCUUUUCUUAAACAUUCAAUCAAUGAGACAUUUAAUCAAUGAGAAAAUGACGAACCUGCCAUUUUCUCCCUUCCUUAUUAUUCAAGAUUCUUCCAUUCAAAUUGACUAUACAGCAAAAAAUGACAAAGUGACACUCAACUAGUCAAAUGAAUUGGAAGAAAGGAGUGGCGGAGAAGCUGCCACGCUCAAUCUUCUUCUUCUUCUUCUAUACAUGUGUGUGUGUAUCAAUGGGAACUUAGCCUGAAUUAGCUAUAGCCUAUAUGUGUAUCAGGGAAAUGCUUUAUCUAUUAAUGUUCCUUUCAUACUAAUAUCCCAAUACGUGAUAGCUUAUUGUUAUAUAAUUUAGAUUUUGCGGAAUAUAUAUGUUAUAGAUUUCUUCAACUGAUCAGAUAUAUGUCCAUUUCCAUCAUCGAGAUCAGACUCACUGGGCUUCGAGCUGAAUAAACAGGCAGUUAAUUCUCGAUUAUAUUAUAACCAAAUAAGCUAAAAUAAUCAGAAUUCAGAAUUGAUGUUUCAUUGAAGCAAGUUAUGGAUACACAACCGUUAAGCCAUGAUACUUCUAUGAAUUAUAUAUUUACCAGUUCUUCUUUAAGCUUUCGAAACCAUAUAAAACGCCUUGUCAAUGCUUAAUUAAGUCGAGAAUCUCAAGGAUUGUGAUGGGUAAUUUGAGAAAGCCUGGAUGCAGAUAAACAUUAUCUGUACAGUUUCGUAUAUACACUGGCGGGCGGCAGUCUGCAAAAAGGGACGCAUAGGAGGCUCGACCUCGAUGUGGAUGGCAGUGCCGGAUAUGUUCCAAAAAGGGACCCAUUUUCUGUAUUUCUCCUUCUGAAGUCCUUUUCUCAGACAGUCAAUGCAGGGAAGAAAAACAAGAAGAACGAAGAAGGAAGGAUUGAGGUAAUAGCUAGGCAAGUUGCAAUUAUUUUCAAGUUAAAUGUGCACUUGUCUCGAACAGCGAUGCCAUGUAUACUUGCCCAUUAACGUCACUCCACAAGAUAUUUAUUACAAAAAAACUAAUUUGUAUGGGAAAACAUUGUGACGCGUUGCACCGAGUACACAUUUAUAGUUCUGAACUUUUUCUUGUUUGAAUUUUUGCAUGUGCUGUUUAUCCUGUGAGUUGUCGUUGAACGUGUUUGAAAAUUGAUCCCUGGGAAACGCAGUGCGGUGAUAAAGAAUUUGAGAUCUGUAUAGCAGGUUUAGAGUUUAAGUCAAGACGUGUAUUUUUUAUAAAAAUCUGAAACAGUCAGAAUUUUAUUUACUCAUCUGAACUUACAAAAUACACUUUUCAGGGAUGGGGUUUUAUCUAAUAAAAAAAAUAUAUUUGAAAAUUGUUUGUAUUUGUGACAUUAAGACGGGGAGGAGUGUUCACAUAGUCUUUGUUGUUGUUUAUUUUUGUCCUUUUAAUUUUAGAUUUUGGAUGAAAAAUUUAUUCUUUACAUUUUAGUUCUUAAACAUGAGAGAUAACAUGAGAGAUAAGAGGGGAGGAGGUUAAAAAAUGAAAGAUGAAUGAGAAAAUAAUUGGUUAAUUACAUUUCAAUAAUUAAAAAAAUUAAUUUUGAUGUAAUUAAGUUUUAUUUGAUAAUAGAAAUAUUGUUGAGAUGUUUUUUUUAUCCACACCGGAAAAACUAGAUCGGAGCUUUGAAAUUUUUUUUAUUCAAAAUAAUUAUUUUUUAUUUCUUGACUGAUUAAAAAUUGGUUGGUUUGAGGUUAUAUAUAUAUAUAUAUAUAUUUUGAGGUUUAUAAGAUAUUUUUUUUAUAUAUUUUUAAGGUAAAAAAAGUUUAAAAUAAAUUUAAUUUUUUUGUUCCAUUUUUUUGAUCCCAAGAUGUUAUAACCUAACUCAGGUUGUCAGAAUCUUAUCAAUAAACAACAUGCAUUUGAUUUUUUUAAUUAAAAAAACAAAGGGUUAUCCACCCAUUUUAAACAAAAGAAAAGGGUUGGCCAGACGUUUGCAUGCUUUUAGUAUUUUUUUAAUAUAUUCGUGUUAAAAUUAUCAAAACAUAGUUUUUUUUUAAUUAAAACUUGCUUUUAUAAUCUUGAUAAGUUAUUGUUUUAAAAAAAUAGAAUUUUUGGUACAAAAAAAAAACUAGAAAAAAAGGAAGCAUAUUGAUAAAAUAAAAGGGUUUUAAUUAGAGACAUACUCUCUUUUUUAUUCCAAAUCGUCCAGUUUUUUUAAUUGUUUAUGUUUUUUAUCAAAUAAAAAACAUAGCACAAAAAAGCUAUUUUUUGGUAGAGAAAAAUCGUUUAAUAAAAAGGGAGGAGUUAUACUAGAAAGUAAUUUAAAUUAUUACUUUUCUUACAAAUAAUUUUUUUAUUGACAUAUAAUUAAAUUAAAAAAAAAUCUAAACAGUUCCUUGCUUAACGACAUCAAAUAUUAUAUUCUCAUGUUAUCUCUCACCUUUUUAUUUAGCAUAUAGUUAGGCUAACAGUUAUUUUAAACAUUUAUUAGUAACAUGACAAUAUUUCUCAUUGUUAUUUUUUUUUUAAUGUUAGAAAAGGCGUUAACCAACGUAUGUACAUGCCAGCCUGUCGCUGUGCAUGCCAGCCUCGUGCACUUUAUUUUAUCUUAUAUUUACUGGUCUAAAUACAAAACAGUUACAGUUGGGCGGUUAGGUCGUUGUCUGAAUUUAUUAAAAUACUAUAAAAAAACUUUAUAUAAACAAAAAGAUUACGCGUGGUAUUAAAUUCGAUAAGCCCGUUUUAUUUAACUAGGUUAAAACAGUGGCCACGUCACGCCUUGCCUGGUCAAUUAUGCCAACAGUUGACCUUGAUGAAUUUGAUCUGGUAGAAAUUCCUAAGUACUUUAUUUAUUUAUUUUUACGAAAAAUGGAUCAAGGAGAGAGCCGAAAGAGAGGAGAUCCAAUUAUGGUGUUAAGUGUCCGUUUCUUUCACUCCUACAAAGGGAGAAAUGAAUAGUCCUAUUUCCGUCUUCAUGCAAUCAAGAGCUAUGAGAUUAGACUAGAAUGAGCUGCGAAAAAUUAAAAUAAUAUUUUAUAAAAAAUUUAUUUUUAAUAUAAUAUAUUAAAACGAUAUAAAAAUAUCAUAAGAAUAAUUUAAAAUAAAAAAAUAUAUUUUUGUUCAAAUCAAGCUGAAGAAUUCAACGUGCUGCGGAAAGUUGCUGAAAUACAGCCAGUGCCCCAAAGCUAAUUUCCAAAAGUAUGGACCAAGAAGUGGCCAAUUCUCCUCCAAGAGAACACAUCAGGAGGAUGUGUGUGCAAAUCUCGAGAGUUGAAACUUAGCAGGUAAAACUCGAUUAUCAUAAAUGUAAAAUCUAACUCGGAUUGAAUUAGUAAAAAAAAUUAAUUAAAAUAAUAUUUUUUUAAUUUUUUUUAAAAUAAAAUAAAAAAUUAACCAGAUUAACCUUCUAAACAUUACUCAGACCUUCAGUAAACAAGGAAUCAGAAAUUAAAUGCUACAACAGCGAUGGAGAAUUCAAUAGUGGAAGGGCUCUACUAGACCUUUCAUUCCAGUGUUCCAUGCAUGGCAUGAAAGCAUUCACAAAGACAGUCGAUGCUGAUAACCACCAUUGUAGUUAGAAAUCGUAUUUGACUUGUUUGCAGCGUACUACACUAGUAAUACGAAUAAAACUGUAUUGAAGGUGUUUGUUAUAAAUCUCAAGAGAAAAAGUGAGCAGCGAAGAAGAGGAGGAGGAAGAAAAUGAAGAGAGAGAAACCAGGCAAGAAUUAAGAGAAUAUUUUCGUUCAUCCUUCACACAGGACACCUGACUUGCCUGUUUCAUUGCUGUCAGACCUGCCCGUGUACAGUGAUCCUUGCUUUGAGAAUGGGGUUAGCUGAGAAUUGGCUUCGUUUGAGAGUGUAAAAAGAUUUUUUUUUAAAAUAUAUCUUUUUUUUUAAGAUUUAUUUUUAAUCUCUACACAUAAAAACAAUUUAAAAACUCUAAAAAAAUUCAAAAAAAAAUUCAAUUUUUUUAAAAAACAUAAUUGAUUCAAAGUGCCAAAGAAAACCUUAAAGCCCUCCUCCCACUAAAAAAAAAAAAAAUAGUGUUUAAUAUUAUUAAAGCAGUUAUUUUUUAUAAUAUCAAUAUAAUAUUUUUUUUUAUUUUUUUAAAUUUAUUUUUAACAUUAAUAUAUUAAAAUAAUAUAAUUUUUUUUAAAAAAAAUACGUGCUGUUACUAGAACAAACACACAAUAAGACUCAUCAGCUAGAAUUGCCCAUCUGCAAUGGUCCUUGCCUUCGUUUGUGAUUGCAGAGACCAUUUUAGGAUGGUUCGGGCAAUUGAAACCCCAUCCCUGGUGGAAACUUAGAAUAUCUCAUCGAAACUGUAAUUGAGCAUGAGCACAAAACUUUUAAGCAAGGUUUUUGACUUGGAAGAGCUAAACAAGAGAACAUGCUGAAUACAUAGCUCCAAGCAAGGAAGAUCUUCGCAAUUUGCCGAAUCCCAAAAUGACACAACCAAAUAAUUGUUUGGCCAAAUGGCAAAGAGCUCCUUUAUCUGGAUACACAACAGAACCAACCAAGUAGCCACCAUAAUCUGGUAUACCAAAGUUACCUAUUGCACUGUCAUGUUUUGACAUCAAACUCAGAGGAGAAAGCACUCUUAUGUUACUCUUCUCUACCACAAAAUGACCAAACACACAACUCUUCCCUAUAAAUGUUAUUACAAGAAACAAAGACACGAGUUUCUUCAGAGAAGCAGUCAUGCAAGUGAUCAUCGCCAUGAUGAUCAAGAAAGAAUAUUCAUACAAGACUAGCUACAAAGCUGGUUUGGUUUAUGAUCAAUCCUUGUUGAGAAUAAGAAAGAAUCAGAGAGAAAAGAAAGAAAGAAAGAGGGAGAGGUAGACAAGGGAAACGGGGAGGACGUGUGGUGUGAGCAAGAGUGGACUUUGCAACGGUCUACAGUUGGAGGGAUUCCAAGUUAAGUUUUUUGGAGUUUGGUGUAAGAAUCUUUUCGCUUACUAGUUUAAAUAACAAAGGUGUAUUUUAGAGAGGAAGAGAUUUAUUGGAAAAUUGAAGGGUACGUUUACUUUAACUUGGAGUCGUCGUAUACCCCAUGAAAAUGAAAAUAACUCUUAACGUAAAGGGUACAACAUGAGAGUGGAAGGAAGGAAGGAAGGAGGGAGGGGAGGGGGAAUUCGAGGAGUAUAGAUAGAUGGGGCUGGGAGCUGACAGAGGCAGCAAGACCUACCUUCUUUUUAUAUUGCGUGCAACUACUUGGAAGUGAGAGCGACUGGAGACAGAGAAAGACAUGUUGAAUAUCAUUUGAAAACCAAUUAUUGUUGUUGCA